This 405-nucleotide ribosomal RNA is filed under the name Salmonella enterica subsp. enterica serovar Infantis. Its description in RNAcentral is "partial 16S ribosomal RNA". It matches the Rfam family "Bacterial small subunit ribosomal RNA", at positions 1110 to 1515 of the family's 1533-position model. RNAcentral also lists the same sequence under 7 other names. The record is from RNAcentral. Lineage: Bacteria; Pseudomonadati; Pseudomonadota; Gammaproteobacteria; Enterobacterales; Enterobacteriaceae.
CUUUGUUGCCAGCGGUCCGGCCGGGAACUCAAAGGAGACUGCCAGUGAUAAACUGGAGGAAGGUGGGGAUGACGUCAAGUCAUCAUGGCCCUUACGACCAGGGCUACACACGUGCUACAAUGGCGCAUACAAAGAGAAGCGACCUCGCGAGAGCAAGCGGACCUCAUAAAGUGCGUCGUAGUCCGGAUUGGAGUCUGCAACUCGACUCCAUGAAGUCGGAAUCGCUAGUAAUCGUGGAUCAGAAUGCCACGGUGAAUACGUUCCCGGGCCUUGUACACACCGCCCGUCACACCAUGGGAGUGGGUUGCAAAAGAAGUAGGUAGCUUAACCUUCGGGAGGGCGCUUACCACUUUGUGAUUCAUGACUGGGGUGAAGUCGUAACAAGGUAACCGUAGGGGAACCUGC